Molecule: non-coding RNA, 207 nt
Organism: Vicia faba (fava bean)
Lineage: Eukaryota; Viridiplantae; Streptophyta; Magnoliopsida; Fabales; Fabaceae
Source: the annotation of a GenBank genome assembly
AUGUUCGAUUUUGAAUUGAAUAAUAUCAUGAACACAUUGAGAUCGUAUGAUGAAACUUUGGUGUUGAUAUGGAUGUUUUCCGUUUGCGUUGAACAUUCGUUUGAGUUGAAUUUCGUAGAGCACCGACAUAUUAUCAAGUUUCUGUCCGAAUUUAUACCUUGCCGAAAUUUUGAUUCAAAACUCAUUUUUAAUCACUUUUGGACUUAA